CCUACGGGAGGCAGCAGUGGGGAAUAUUGCGCAAUGGGCGAAAGCCUGACGCAGCGACGCCGCGUGAGGGAUGAAGGUAUUCGGAUCGUAAAACUCUGUCAGCAGGGAAGAACGGUCACUGUGCUAUUCAGCAGUGAAUUGACGGUACCUGCAAAGGAAGCACCGGCUAACUCCGUGCCAGCAGCUGCGGUAAUACGGAGGGUGCGUGCGUUAAUCGGAAUUACUGGGCGUAAAGCGCUCGUAGGCGGUAUGUCAAGUCAAGGGUGAAAUCCCCGCGCUCAACGUGGGAACUGCCGUUGAAACUGGCAGACUGGGGUUGGUGAGAGGAUAGUGGAAUUCCAGGUGUAGGAGUGAAAUCCGUAGAUAUCUGGAGGAACAUCAGUGGCGAAGGCGACAAUCUGGCACAUAACUGACGCUGAGGAGCGAAAGCGUGGGUAGCGAACAGGAUUAGAUACCCUAGUAGUC
Molecule: ribosomal RNA, 465 nt
Filed under: uncultured bacterium
Lineage: Bacteria
Description: partial 16S ribosomal RNA
Rfam family: Bacterial small subunit ribosomal RNA
Source: RNAcentral